CGUAGGUGANCNNGCGGAAGGAUCAUUACUUUAUGUGAUGUUCAAAUUUAAAUUCGCAAUGAAAUGAUCGUUGUGAAACGGCUGUCGCUGGUGUCUAAGUGUUGCUGAUACGGUUGUGAACGUCCGUGGCUGUAUAUGUGGUGACAUGUUAGGACUCUAAUGAGUUUAAGACCUAAUGAGCCUCUUAAGUGAGGCCGCCAGCAACCUUUUUUUUCUCUACAUUUUAAAAAAAAAACUAAAAUUCUACCCUUAUCGGUGGAUCACUAGGCUCGUGGAUCGAUGAAGAACGCAGCAAACUGCGAUAAUUAUUGCGAACUGCAGAAGUAUUGAGCACAAAAGUUUUGAACGCAAAUGGCCGCAUUGAGGUCAAACUCUUUGCAACGUCUGGUUCAGGGUCAUUUUCUCUUAUAGCGGAAGCUUUAAUUUCUAUAAUGAUGUUGUUGCUUUAUAUUUUAAAAGGAUUUUUGUUUAUUCAUGUAUUAAAUCUAACUGUGAAAAUCAAACAAUUUUGACCUGAACUCAGUCGAGAGCACCCGCUGAACUUAAGCAUAUCAGUAAGCGGAGGAAAAGAAACUAACCAGG
This 582-nucleotide ribosomal RNA is filed under the name Meloidogyne incognita (southern root-knot nematode). Its description in RNAcentral is "eukaryotic LSU rRNA". The stretch from base 245 to 398 matches the Rfam family "5.8S ribosomal RNA". The record is from RNAcentral. Lineage: Eukaryota; Metazoa; Nematoda; Chromadorea; Rhabditida; Meloidogynidae.